Molecule: ribosomal RNA, 433 nt
Filed under: uncultured bacterium
Lineage: Bacteria
Description: partial 16S ribosomal RNA
Rfam family: Bacterial small subunit ribosomal RNA
Source: RNAcentral
AACGAACGCUGGCGGCAUGCCUAACACAUGCAAGUCGAACGAGACCUUCGGGUCUAGUGGCGCACGGGUGAGUAACGCGUGGGAACCUGCCCUUAGGUUCGGAAUAACUCCCCGAAAGGGGUGCUAAUACCGGAUAAUGUCUUCGGACCAAAGAUUUAUCGCCUUUGGAUGAGCCCGCGUUGGAUUAGCUAGUUGGUAGGGUAAAAGCCUACCAAGGCGACGAUCCAUAGCUGGUCUGAGAGGAUGAUCAGCCACACUGGGACUGAGACACGGCCCAGACUCCUACGGGAGGCAGCAGUGGGGAAUAUUGGACAAUGGGCGAAAGCCUGAUCCAGCAAUGCCGCGUGAGUGAUGAAGGCCUUAGGGUUGUAAAGCUCUUUUACCCGGGAUGAUAAUGACAGUACCGGGAGAAUAAGCUCCGGCUAACUCCGUG